GCGGCCAUGAUGUUAAUGGUAGCAUGAGAUCCUUCCAAGUUCUUUGUGUCGGUUCAAGUCCGACUGGCCGCACCA
Molecule: transfer RNA, 75 nt
Filed under: bacterium
Lineage: Bacteria
Description: tRNA-Gly
Rfam family: tRNA
About the family: Transfer RNA (tRNA) molecules are approximately 80 nucleotides in length.
Source: RNAcentral